AGAGUUUGAUCAUGGCUCAGAAUCAACGCUGGCGGCGUGCCUAACACAUGCAAGUCGAACGCGAAAGUCCCGCAAGGAUAAGUAGAGUGGCAAACGGGUGAGUAACACGUGGGUGACCUGCCUUCGAGCGGGGGAUAACGUCCCGAAAGGGACGCUAAUACCGCAUAACAUCCUGCCUUCUAAGAGGUGGAGAUCAAAGCUGGGGAUCGCAAGACCUAGCACUUGAAGAGGGGCCCGCGUCCGAUUAGCUAGUUGGUGGGGUAAUGGCUCACCAAGGCAACGAUCGGUAGCCGGCCUGAGAGGGCGGACGGCCACACUGGGACUGAGACACGGCCCAGACUCCUACGGGAGGCAGCAGUGGGGAAUUGUUCGCAAUGGGCGCAAGCCUUGACGACGCAACGCCGCGUGGAGGAUGAAGAUCUUCGGGUCGUAAACUCCUUUCGAUCGAGACGAAUUCCUUUGCGGUGAACAAUCGCGAAGGUUGACGGUACCGAGAGAAGAAGCCCCGGCUAACUCCGUGCCAGCAGCCGCGGUAAUACGGGGGGGGCAAGCGUUGUUCGGAAUUACUGGGCGUAAAGGGCUCGUAGGCGGCCAACUAAGUCAAACGUGAAAUCCCUCGGCUUAACCGGGGAACUGCGUCUGAUACUGGAUGGCUUGAGUUUGGGAGAGGGAUGCGGAAUUCCAGGUGUAGCGGUGAAAUGCGUAGAUAUCUGGAGGAACACCGGUGGCGAAGGCGGCAUCCUGGACCAACACUGACGCUGAGGAGCGAAAGCCAGGGGAGCAAACGGGAUUAGAUACCCUAGUAGUCC
This 809-nucleotide ribosomal RNA is filed under the name uncultured bacterium. RNAcentral's name for it is "bacterial SSU rRNA". It matches the Rfam family "Bacterial small subunit ribosomal RNA", at positions 8 to 796 of the family's 1533-position model. The record is from RNAcentral.